RNAcentral lists this ribosomal RNA (433 nucleotides) under uncultured bacterium. Its description in RNAcentral is "partial 16S ribosomal RNA". It matches the Rfam family "Bacterial small subunit ribosomal RNA", at positions 29 to 507 of the family's 1533-position model. The record is from RNAcentral.
AAUGAACGCUGGCGGCAUGCCUAACACAUGCAAGUCGAACGAAGGCUUCGGCCUUAGUGGCGCACGGGUGCGUAACGCGUGGGAAUCUGCCCCUUGGUUCGGAAUAACAGUUAGAAAUGACUGCUAAUACCGGAUGAUGACGUAAGUCCAAAGAUUUAUCGCCGAGGGAUGAGCCCGCGUAGGAUUAGCUAGUUGGUGUGGUAAGAGCGCACCAAGGCGACGAUCCUUAGCUGGUCUGAGAGGAUGAUCAGCCACACUGGGACUGAGACACGGCCCAGACUCCUACGGGAGGCAGCAGUGGGGAAUAUUGGACAGUGGGCGAAAGCCUGAUCCAGCAAUGCCGCGUGAGUGAUGAAGGCCUUAGGGUUGUAAAGCUCUUUUACCCGGGAUGAUAAUGACAGUACCGGGAGAAUAAGCUCCGGCUAACUCCGUG